This 3992-nucleotide unclassified non-coding RNA is filed under the name Hevea brasiliensis (rubber tree). Lineage: Eukaryota; Viridiplantae; Streptophyta; Magnoliopsida; Malpighiales; Euphorbiaceae. The record is from RNAcentral.
GGAAGAUAAAAAAAACAAAACCAAACAAGCCCCAACACCAGCACCACAUGAUGUCUUUUACUCCUCUCUUCUCCUCCUCUCUUCUUUCUCCUCUAAACUAAAUAAGCAGAUAAAUUUAUAACAGAGGCCCCUUUCUCUCUCUCUCGCGUCCUCUUUGUUUAUGUUUGUUUUGGUUGAAACUUGAAGUUGCAGAGCUAUGGCGGAAUCGGUAGAGCUGCCGAGUCGGUUGGCGAUCCUCCCAUUCAGAAACAAGGUCCUUUUGCCUGGGGCUAUUAUUCGGAUUCGUUGCACUUCUCCGAACAGUGUGAAAUUGGUGGAACAAGAGCUAUGGCAGCGGGAGGAGAAGGGUUUGAUAGGCAUUUUGCCUGUUAGGGAUGCAGCGGCGGAGGAGACUGCAUCUGUGGGCCCCAUGUUAACUCAAGGUGUUGGAAGUGAUUCUGGGGAUAGAAGCUCCAAAAUUCAAGUUGGUAACUCUGAUAAUCUUAAACUUGAUGGCAAAAAUCAGCAGGAAGUUAUUCGUUGGCAUAACAGGGGAGUGGCGGCUCGGGCUCUGCAUUUGUCGAGAGGAGUGGAGAAACCCAGUGGAAGAGUGACGUACAUAGUUGUUCUUGAAGGUUUGUGCAGAUUCAGUGUCCAAGAGCUUAGCAAAAGAGGGAUGUAUCACACUGCACGAAUAUCUUCCCUUGAGAUGACAAAGGCUGAGAUGGAGCAAGUGGAGCAAGAUCCUGAUUUUAUAUCACUGUCUCGCCAGUUUAAAGCAACUGCCAUGGAACUUAUUUCAGUUCUUGAACAGAAGCAAAAAACCAGUGGAAGGACAAAAGUUCUCUUGGAAACAGUCCCAGUUCACAAAUUGGCGGAUAUUUUUGUUGCUAGCUUUGAGAUGAAUUUUGAAGAGCAGCUAUGUAUGUUGGAUUCAGUUGAUCUGAAAGUAAGGCUUUCAAAAGCUACAGAGCUAGUUGAUAGGCAUUUACAGUCAAUACGUGUAGCGGAGAAGAUUUCACAAAAGGUUGAGGGACAAUUAUCAAAAUCACAGAAAGAGUUUCUUCUGCGCCAGCAGAUGAGAGCUAUAAAAGAGGAGCUUGGUGACAAUGAUGAUGAUGAAGAUGAUGUGGCUGCAUUAGAAAGAAAGAUGCAAAGUGCAGGAAUGCCUUCAAAUAUCUGGAAGCAUGCCCAGAGGGAGUUAAGGAGGCUUAAGAAAAUGCAACCUCAGCAACCUGGAUAUAAUAGUUCACGAGUUUACUUGGAGCUUCUUGCUGAUCUGCCCUGGCAAAAGGCUAGUGAAGAAAAUGAUUUGGACCUAAAAGCUGCAAAAGAACGUCUUGACAGUGACCAUUAUGGCCUAGUCAAGGUCAAGCAACGAAUUAUCGAAUAUCUAGCUGUUCGCAAGCUUAAACCAGAUGCAAGGGGCCCAGUCUUGUGCUUUGUUGGUCCUCCAGGAGUUGGGAAAACAUCUCUGGCAUCAUCUAUUGCUGCUGCACUUGGCAGAAAAUUUGUUCGUAUAUCACUUGGUGGUGUUAAGGAUGAGGCAGAUAUUAGAGGGCAUAGGAGAACAUACAUUGGAAGCAUGCCUGGGCGUCUUAUUGAUGGUUUAAAGAGAGUAGGUGUUUGCAAUCCAGUCAUGCUGCUGGAUGAGAUUGACAAGACAGGUUCCGAUGUGCGUGGGGAUCCAGCUUCAGCUCUGCUGGAGGUUCUAGACCCUGAACAGAACAAGACAUUCAAUGAUCACUAUUUGAAUGUUCCGUUUGACCUUUCAAAGGUGAUUUUUGUGGCUACUGCAAAUAGGGCGCAGCCUAUUCCUCCUCCACUCUUAGAUAGGAUGGAAGUCAUUGAGCUCCCUGGAUAUACGCCUGAAGAAAAGCUUAGAAUAGCCAUGCGACAUUUGAUUCCACGAGUUUUGGAUCAACAUGGAUUGAGUUCUGAAUUCCUUCAAAUUCCAGAGGCUAUGGUGAAACUUGUCAUUCAGCGGUACACUAGAGAGGCUGGUGUCCGGAAUCUAGAGAGGAACUUGGCUGCCUUGGCUCGUGCUGCUGCUUUAAGAGUUGCAGAGCAAGAACAAGCUGUUCCAUUGAGCAAAAAUAUGCAGCGUUUGGCUUCACCAUUGUUGGAGAAUGGACUUGCUAAUGGAGCUAAAGUGGAAAUGGAAGUCAUUCCAAUGAAUGAUAACAAUCAUGAGCUAUCAAGUCCGUUCAGGGUCGCUUCACCUUUGGUUGUAGAUGAAACAAUACAGGAGAAAACACUAGGGGUAAAUAAUUCUGCUUAUUAGCUCUUCCUUUCUCAACAGGAUGAUUUACGUUUUGGGUUCUUUAAUCCUUGUUUAUUAUUCAAGGUGUUAAGCUUGUGUUGUUGAAACUUCAUUGUGAAAAAGUGCUUUGUACUGAAGCACUUGCUUGGCAGGCUCAGAUGAAAAUCCUUCAAGGCUAUUUGGUUAUACAUUUGAAGUGAAAAUUCUCAAGAUUUUCACUUAAGUGAAAGUUUGGUGUGGUAGGUAGUGUUUUUCUUUUCAAUUUCAAAUUUCUCAAUUGAGGACUUCGGCAACAUGGAAUGAGCUGAAAACCUAAGAAGUGCAUUUGUCGCAUCUAAUGUCUGUUUUGCUGAGUGUAUAUGAUGCUAUUUUGUGCAACCUAAAACUUUUAGCUGAUAUGAUCUCACCUCUGAUGAUUCUAAUGCACAAAGGGUUCUAAACCCAUAACAACUAACAAGUCUUUUGUAGCCAAAAUGUUUUGGUUUCUCAAAUUACUUGUGUUGAUAACUCCAUCCUGAAAGACAACUUGUGAAAGGAGGAUUGCCUUAGUCAUAUAUGAAGCAUUUUUGCCUAAUACUCAGCUGAUGUGAGACUUAACAUACUCCCCUCACGCCUAGGAUUGUACAUCUAGAGCAUGAAGUUUACAGGACUAGACAUGUGGAUGGCUCAACAUUGAAAUUGGGGUUGGCUCUGCUACUAUGUUGAUAAAAUGGACCGGGUUUAACUCUACCUCAAAAGAUACCUUGUAGUGGAGAAAGGAUUACCUAAGUCACAUAUGAAGCAUUUUUGCCCAACACCCAGCUGAUGUCGGACUUAAAGGAUUACCUAAGUCACAUACUGAACAGAUCUAAUGUUCUUGUGCAUUAUGCAGGCUCCAAGGUUUGAUGGUAAAGAAGCUGCAGAGUGUGUUGCAAAUCCUGGUAUAUCAGUUGGGCUUGUUUGGACCAACUUUGGUGGAGAAGUUCAGUUUGUGGAGGCAACAGCAAUGGUGGGAAAGGGUGAAUUACAUCUUACUGGGCAGCUUGGUGAUGUUAUUAAAGAAUCAGCACAAAUAGCACUGACAUGGGUAAUCUAUAUCCUCAGCCCUUGCAUAUCAAUAGUGCCUCAUUAAAUUGCUUAUAAAUAUUUAUUCUUUAUGCUGGAACCCUAAGUAUUACAAAUUACAGUCAAAUUUAUGUAGACUUCAAGAGGUUGCUUUUGCUAGUAAAUUAUAUGCAGAUGGGUUCAAAUUUACUUUGUCUAUUGCAUCUGUCUCACAUUACUCUUUUUUAUCCCUUUUUUUUUAUUUCUUUCAAGAAAAGGGCAGUUCUGUUUUAUGUUUAGUUGUAUUAUUCAUUUCUUCAAGAAUUCACUGAAAAGUUUCCCUCUAUAAAAUGCAUCUUGAAAGUUUAAUUGGUUGUGAACCAGUGAUUACUCAUCUGUUUUUGGUUCACAAGUCCAGCAUCUACAGCCAAGUGAAAUAUCUGAUUGCGCAAUAUUCUCAUGAAUUGAGAUGUCAUGCAGAAAAGCCUUCCAGUUUUUGCUCUUGGAAAAGUUGGUUUGAAAAUGUCUUCUGAAAUUGUAGGUAUGCGCCAGGGCAAUAGAUCUUAAUUUAACAGCUGGUCAGGAGAUCAAUCUCCUUGAGGGCCGGGAUAUCCAUAUACAUUUUCCUGUCAGGGUCUGUACCAAACCAUGGGUCUGUACCAAACGAUGGGCCCUCAGCUGGUGUGACACUAGUAACAGCUCUUACAACUCAACUCAACUCAACUAA